UCGGAUGUGAAAACCCUGGGCUCAACCUGGGAACGGCAUUCGAUACUGUCUGGCUUGAGUGCGGCAGAGGAUCGGGGAAUUUCCGGUGUAGCAGUGAAAUACACGGAGAUCGGAAGGAACAUCAAUGGCGAAGGCAACGAUCUGGGCACGCACUGACACUGAGGGACGAAAGCGUGGGGAGCAAACAGGAUUAGAUACCCUGGUAGUCCACGCCGUAAACGAUGAGUACUGGCUGUUUGUCCUGGUGUAAAAGGAUAAGUGGCGCAGCUAACGCGUUAAGUACUCCGCCUGGGGACUACGGCCGCCAAGGCUAAAACUCAAAGGAAUUGACGGGGACCCGCACAAGCGGUGGAGCAUGUGGUUUAAUUCGAUGCAACGCGAAGAACCUUACCAUCCCUUGACAUCUGCGGAAGGCCUGAGAGAUCAAGCUGUGCCUUCGGGAACCGCAAGACAGGUGCUGCAUGGCUGUCGUCAGCUCGUGUUGUGAAAUGUUGGGUUAAGUCCCGCAACGAGCGCAACCCUUGUUUCCAGUUGCCGUCAUUUAGUUGGGCACUCUGGAGAGACUGCCGCUGAUAAGGCGGAGGAAGGCGGGGACGACGUCAAGUCAUCAUGGCCCUUACGGGAUGGGCUACACACGUGCUACAAUGGGCAUUACAGAGGGCAGCAACAGGGCGACCUCGAGCGAAACCCAGAAAGGUGCUCACAGUCCGGAUUGAAGUCUGCAACUCGACUUCAUGAAGUUGGAAUCGCUAGUAAUCGCGGA
Molecule: ribosomal RNA, 763 nt
Filed under: uncultured Gammaproteobacteria bacterium
Lineage: Bacteria; Pseudomonadati; Pseudomonadota; Gammaproteobacteria
Description: bacterial SSU rRNA
Rfam family: Bacterial small subunit ribosomal RNA
Source: RNAcentral